Molecule: ribosomal RNA, 450 nt
Filed under: uncultured bacterium
Lineage: Bacteria
Description: partial 16S ribosomal RNA
Rfam family: Bacterial small subunit ribosomal RNA
Source: RNAcentral
CCUACGGGUGGCUGCAGUAGGGAAUAUUGGACAAUGGGUGCAAGCCUGAUCCAGCCAUGCCGCGUGCAGGAAGACGGCCUUCUGGGUUGUAAACUGCUUUUUUCAGGGGAUAAAAGGCCCGUGCGCGGGACAUUGAAAGUACCUGGAGAAUAAGCCACGGCUAACUACGUGCCAGCAGCCGCGGUAAUACGUAGGUGGCAAGCGUUGUCCGGAUUUAUUGGGUGUGAAGGGUGCGUAGGAGGUCAGUUGUGAAAUACGGCAGCUUAACUGUCGAGGUGCCAUUGAUACUGGGUAGCUUGAGUACUGAUGAGGUAGGCGGAAUGGACGGUGUAGCGGUGAAAUGCUUAGAGAUCGUCCAGAACACCGAUAGCGAAGGCAGCUUACUAAGGAGUAACUGACGCUGAGGCACGAAAGUGUGGGGAUCAAACAGGAUUAGAUACCCGUGUAGUC